RNAcentral lists this transfer RNA (64 nucleotides) under Valvata hokkaidoensis. RNAcentral describes it as "tRNA-Phe". It matches the Rfam family "tRNA". From Rfam's summary of the family: Transfer RNA (tRNA) molecules are approximately 80 nucleotides in length. Their secondary structure includes four short double-helical elements and three loops (D, anti-codon, and T loops). Lineage: Eukaryota; Metazoa; Mollusca; Gastropoda; Valvatidae. The record is from RNAcentral.
UAGUAGAUAGCUAAAACUUAUAGCAUAACAUUGAAGAUGUUAAGAUACUUUAAAGUUCUGCUAA